AAGGGAGACCUAAUUCCGGUAGGAGACGAAAAAAAAGUAGUCCCUACCAAGAAUCAAUCCCAAAAGGUCGAAGCGAGGCAAGAUUGGCUUUCAAACUAGGUUCUGGGUUCAAACAAGACCUGAAUCAGGAACAAGGGCUAUUAGCUCAGGUGGUUAGAGCGCACCCCUGAUAAGGGUGAGGUCCCUGGUUCGAGUCCAUGAUGGCCCACCUGCACAGGUGGCAAAAACAAAGAAGCGAGGAAUCAGCACCUUAUCUUGCUCAUAUAGUAAGAGAGAAUGCUGGCUCUGAGUAAAGAGUCCAGAGGAACCUUGAAAACUGCAUAGAGCUAGGUGAAAAAGCCAAAAAAGAAGACCGCAA
Molecule: transfer RNA, 358 nt
Filed under: uncultured Microcystis sp.
Lineage: Bacteria; Bacillati; Cyanobacteriota; Cyanophyceae; Chroococcales; Microcystaceae
Description: partial 16S-23S ribosomal RNA intergenic spacer
Rfam family: tRNA (bases 135-208)
Source: RNAcentral